CUUUCCUACGGGAGGCAGCAGUGGGGAAUAUUGCACAAUGGGGGAAACCCUGAUGCAGCAACGCCGCGUGAGUGAAGAAGUAUUUCGGUAUGUAAAGCUCUAUCAGCAGGGAAGAAGAUGACGGUACCUGAAUAAGAAGCCCCGGCUAACUACGUGCCAGCAGCCGCGGUAAUACGUAGGGGGCAAGCGUUAUCCGGAUUUACUGGGUGUAAAGGGAGCGCAGACGGCAGUGCAAGUCUGGAGUGAAAGGCCGGGGCCCAACCCCGGGACUGCUCUGGAAACUAUUGAACUUGAGUGCAGGAGCG
RNAcentral lists this ribosomal RNA (305 nucleotides) under uncultured bacterium. RNAcentral's name for it is "bacterial SSU rRNA". It matches the Rfam family "Bacterial small subunit ribosomal RNA", at positions 334 to 656 of the family's 1533-position model. The record is from RNAcentral.